AUACGGAGGAUGCGAGCGUUAUCCGGAUUUAUUGGGUUUAAAGGGUGCGUAGGCGGACGCUUAAGUCAGUUGUGAAAGUUUGCGGCUCAACCGUAAAAUUGCAGUUGAUACUAGGUGUCUUGAGUACAGUAGAGGCAGGCGGAAUUCGUGGGGUAGCGGUGAAAUGCUUAGAUAUCAAGAAGAACUCCGAUUGCGAAGGCAGCCUGCUGGACUGUAACUGACGCUGAUGCUCGAAAGUGUGGGUAUCAAACAGGAUUAGAUACCCUGGUAGUCCACACAGUAAACGAUGAAUACUCGCUGUUUGCGAUAUACAGUAAGCGGCCAAGCGAAAGCGUUAAGUAUUCCACCUGGGGAGUACGCCGGCAACGGUGAAACUCAAAGGAAUUGACGGG
RNAcentral lists this ribosomal RNA (392 nucleotides) under uncultured bacterium. RNAcentral's name for it is "partial 16S ribosomal RNA". It matches the Rfam family "Bacterial small subunit ribosomal RNA", at positions 523 to 917 of the family's 1533-position model. The record is from RNAcentral.